Molecule: ribosomal RNA, 231 nt
Filed under: uncultured Dehalococcoidia bacterium
Lineage: Bacteria; Bacillati; Chloroflexota; Dehalococcoidia
Description: partial 16S ribosomal RNA
Rfam family: Bacterial small subunit ribosomal RNA
Source: RNAcentral
CGAGGAAUCUUGGGCAAUGGGGGAAACCCUGACCCAGCGACGCCGCGUGGGGGAAGAAGGCCUUCGGGUCGUAAACCCCUUUUGCCGGGGAAGAAGCCCUGACGGUACCCGGCGAAUAAGCCACGGCUAACUACGUGCCAGCAGCCGCGGUAAGACGUAGGUGGCGAGCGUUACCCGGAUUUACUGGGCGUAAAGGGCGUGUAGGCGGCCAGGUAAGUCCGGCGUGAAAUC